UCGAGUGGGUUUAGACCCACGGCAGACGAGGUAGGAACACGUAGGUAUGUACCAGAAAGUCAGGGAUAAUCCGGCGAAAGUCGGAACAAUACUUGAUAGUCCCUUCGGGGUGAAGAUUUAUCGCUUUCUGAACGGCCUGCGGUCUAUCAGCUUGUUGGUACGGUAACGGCGUACCAAGGCGACGACGGAUAGGGGAGGUGAGAGCCUGACCCCCACCGAUGGAACUGCGACACGGUCCAUACUCCUACGGGAGGCCGCAGUCGAGAAUCUUCCGCAAUGGACGAAAGUCUGACGGAGCGACGCCGCGUGGUGGAUGAAGUCCCUAGGGACGUAAACACCUUUUAUGAGGGAGGAAGUGUAUUGACGUUACCUCAUGAAUAAGGGGCUCCCAAUUCUGUGCCAGCAGGAGCGGUAAUACAGAAGCCCCGAGCGUUACCCGGAUUCACUGGGCGUAAAGGGUGCGUAGGCGGUUAUAUUAGUCGGAUGUUAAAUCGUGGGGCUCAACCUCACGCUCGCAUUCGAAACGGUAUGACUUGAAGACGUGAGAGGUUCAGAGAACUCUCGGUGUAGGGGUGAAAUCCGUUGAUAUCGAGGGGAAUACCAAAUGCGAAGGCACUGAACUGGCACGUUCUUGACGCUGAGGCACGAAAGCGUGGGUAGCGAACGGGAUUA
This 672-nucleotide ribosomal RNA is filed under the name uncultured bacterium. RNAcentral describes it as "bacterial SSU rRNA". It matches the Rfam family "Bacterial small subunit ribosomal RNA", at positions 62 to 780 of the family's 1533-position model. The record is from RNAcentral.